GGCUAACGCUGGCGGCGUGUCUUAGCCAUGCAAGUCGAGCGGACUUAUGGGGUAACUUAUAAGUCAGCGGCGGACGGCGGAGUAACACGUAGCUAACCUACCCUCUGGACGGGGAUAACCUACCGAAAGGUGGGCUAAUACCCGAUGUAGUCAUCCUGUAUAGGGGUGAUGAAAGGUGGGCUUCUGUUUACAAGCUCAUGCUGGAGGAGGGGGCUGCGGCCUAUCAGGUAGUUGGUAGGGUAAUAGCCUACCAAGCCGAUGACGGGUAGCCGGCCUGAGAGGGUGACCGGCCCGAGGGGCACUGAGAUACGGGUCCCACUCCUACGGGAGGCAGCAGGCUAGAAAUUUGGGCAAUGGGGAAACCCUGACCCAGUGACGCCGCGUGCAGGAAGGAGCCCUUCGGGGUGUAAACUGCUGUCGUGUAGGGAGAAGGGUACUAAGGUGAACAAUCUUAGUACUUGACGGUACUACAGGAGGAAGCCCAGGCUAACCUCGUGCCAGCAGCCGCGGUAAAUAGCGUACU
Molecule: ribosomal RNA, 523 nt
Filed under: uncultured bacterium
Lineage: Bacteria
Description: bacterial SSU rRNA
Rfam family: Bacterial small subunit ribosomal RNA
Source: RNAcentral